Molecule: ribosomal RNA, 1498 nt
Filed under: endosymbiont of Nilaparvata lugens
Lineage: Bacteria
Description: partial 16S ribosomal RNA
Rfam family: Bacterial small subunit ribosomal RNA
Source: RNAcentral
AGAGUUUGAUCCUGGCUCAGAUUGAACGCUGGCGGCAGGCUUAACACAUGCAAGUCGAGCGGUAGCACAAGAGAGCUUGCUCUCUGGGUGACGAGCGGCGGACGGGUGAGUAAUGUCUGGGAAACUGCCUGAUGGAGGGGGAUAACUACUGGAAACGGUAGCUAAUACCGCAUAACGUCGCAAGACCAAAGAGGGGGACCUUCGGGCCUCUUGCCAUCAGAUGUGCCCAGAUGGGAUUAGCUAGUAGGUGGGGUAAUGGCUCACCUAGGCGACGAUCCCUAGCUGGUCUGAGAGGAUGACCAGCCACACUGGAACUGAGACACGGCCCAGACUCCUACGGGAGGCAGCAGUGGGGAAUUUUGGACAAUGGGCGAAAGCCUGAUCCAGCAAUGCCGCGUGCAGGAUGAAGGCCCUCGGGUUGUAAACUGCUUUUGUACGGAACGAAAAGACUCUCUCUAAUAAAGAGGGUUGAUGACGGUACCGUAAGAAUAAGCACCGGCUAACUACGUGCCAGCAGCCGCGGUAAUACGUAGGGUGCGAGCGUUAAUCGGAAUUACUGGGCGUAAAGCGCACGCAGGCGGUUUGUUAAGUCAGAUGUGAAAUCCCCGGGCUCAACCUGGGAAUGGCAUUUGAGACUGCAUGGCUAGAGUGUGUCAGAGGGGGGUAGAAUUCCACGUGUAGCAGUGAAAUGCGUAGAGAUGUGGAGGAAUACCGAUGGCGAAGGCAGCCCCCUGGGAUAACACUGACGCUCGUGCACGAAAGCGUGGGGAGCAAACAGGAUUAGAUACCCUGGUAGUCCACGCCCUAAACGAUGUCUACUAGUUGUCGGGACUUAAUUGUCUUGGUAACGCAGCUAACGCGUGAAGUAGACCGCCUGGGGAGUACGGUCGCAAGAUUAAAACUCAAAGGAAUUGACGGGGACCCGCACAAGCGGUGGAUGAUGUGGAUUAAUUCGAUGCAACGCGAAAAACCUUACCUACCCUUGACAUGUACGGAACCUCUGAGAGAUUAGAGGGUGCUCGAAAGAGAGCCGUAACACAGGUGCUGCAUGGCUGUCGUCAGCUCGUGUCGUGAGAUGUUGGGUUAAGUCCCGCAACGAGCGCAACCCUUGUCAUUAGUUGCUACGAAAGGGCACUCUAAUGAGACUGCCGGUGACAAACCGGAGGAAGGUGGGGAUGACGUCAAGUCCUCAUGGCCCUUAUGGGUAGGGCUUCACACGUCAUACAAUGGUACAUACAGAGGGCCGCCAACCCGCGAGGGGGAGCUAAUCCCAGAAAGUGUAUCGUAGUCCGGAUUGUAGUCUGCAACUCGACUACAUGAAGUUGGAAUCGCUAGUAAUCGCGGAUCAGCAUGUCGCGGUGAAUACGUUCCCGGGUCUUGUACACACCGCCCGUCACACCAUGGGAGCGGGUUUCACCAGAAGUAGGUAGCCUAACCGCAAGGAGGGCGCUUACCACGGUGGGAUUCGUGACUGGGGUGAAGUCGUAACAAGGUAACC